RNAcentral lists this ribosomal RNA (543 nucleotides) under Triticum aestivum (bread wheat). RNAcentral describes it as "partial small subunit ribosomal RNA". Lineage: Eukaryota; Viridiplantae; Streptophyta; Magnoliopsida; Poales; Poaceae. The record is from RNAcentral.
AUGCCUGCAGGAGGCCAACGCGAGCCCGUGGGUGUCGACAAGGGGAACCGGAGCUUGUCGAAGAGGAGACCGCACCGCACGGAGGCGGAGAAGAUGACGGCCAAGGCGACGAUCAAGCGCGCCCUGGACCGAUUCCUUUGGCGGGAGGGUAACUUGGGGCGAGGCAGAGCGCUAGGACAUGGCGGCUGGGCUCGGGGAAGCCGUUGGCCACGAGGACGAAGGACGCCGCCGUCGGCGUGCUCUCGUGGUGACGCCUGUGAGUCGGGAGAUACGAGUUCACAGACAGACAUCCUGUGCAUCCUUCUUCACCUCCACAUCCUGUGCGUGUCGUCGAUACCGCCCAUGUCCAGCUCUAGAGCGAUACAGGACGGGCUCGGCAUCCUGGCCUUCGAGGUGUCGGCGGCCAUGUCGCGAUUGAUCAGGAGUCGACGUGGUGGUCAGGAGUCUCUGCGCCUUUGUCCUGCGUGCCUCACGUCCACGGACCCUACAAACAACAAAGUACUACACAUUUUGACGUGGAAGCACUCGUGCACAGCUACUUAA